GCGUUGUCCGGAAUCAUUGGGCGUAAAGAGCGUGUAGGCGGCCCGAUAAGUCCGCCGUGAAAGUCCAGGGCUCAACCCUGGGAUGCCGGUGGAAGCUGUCGGGCUAGAGUCCGGAAGAGGCGAGUGGAAUUCCUGGUGUAGCGGUGAAAUGCGCAGAUAUCAGGAGGGACACCAACGGCGAAGGCAGCUCGCUGGGACGGUACUGACGCUGAGACGCGAAAGCGUG
Molecule: ribosomal RNA, 226 nt
Filed under: uncultured bacterium
Lineage: Bacteria
Description: partial 16S ribosomal RNA
Rfam family: Bacterial small subunit ribosomal RNA
Source: RNAcentral